GAUUCGUCACACUAUCAUUAACUGAAUCCAUAGGUUAAUGAGGCGAACCGGGGGAACUGAAACAUCUAAGUACCCCGAGGAAAAGAAAUCAACCGAGAUUCCCCCAGUAGCGGCGAGCGAACGGGGAGGAGCCCAGAGCCUGAAUCAGCAUGUGUGUUAGUGGAAGCGUCUGGAAAGGCGCGCGAUACAGGGUGACAGCCCCGUACACAAAAGCGCAUGUGCUGUGAGCUCGAUGAGUAGGGCGGGACACGUGGUAUCCUGUCUGAAUAUGGGGGGACCAUCCUCCAAGGCUAAAUACUCCUGACUGACCGAUAGUGAACCAGUACCGUGAGGGAAAGGCGAAAAGAACCCCGGCGAGGGGAGUGAAAAAGAACCUGAAACCGUGUACGUACAAGCAGUGGGAGCACAGGUUUACCUGUGUGACUGCGUACCUUUUGUAUAAUGGGUCAGCGACUUAUAUUCUGUAGCAAGGUUAACCGUAUAGGGGAGCCGGAGGGAAACCGAGUCUUAAUUGGGCGUUAAGUUGCAGGGUAUAGACCCGAAACCCGGUGAUCUAGCCAUGGGCAGGUUGAAGGUUGGGUAACACUAACUGGAGGACCGAACCGACUAAUGUUGAAAAAUUAGCGGAUGACCUGUGGCUGGGGGUGAAAGGCCAAUCAAACCGGGAGAUAGCUGGUUCUCCCCGAAAGCUAUUUAGGUAGCGCCUCGUGAAUUCAUCUCCGGGGGUAGAGCACUGUUUCGGCUAGGGGGCCAUCCCGGCUUACCAACCCGAUGCAAACUGCGAAUACCGGAGAAUGUUAUCACGGGAGACACACGGCGGGUGCUAACGUCCGUCGUGAAGAGGGAAACAACCCAGACCGCCAGCUAAGGUCCCAAAGUCAUGGUUAAGUGGGAAACGAUGUGGGAAGGCCCAGACAGCCAGGAUGUUGGCUUAGAAGCAGCCAUCAUUUAAAGAAAGCGUAAUAGCUCACUGGUCGAGUCGGCCUGCGCGGAAGAUGUAACGGGGCUAAACCAUGCACCGAAGCUGCGGCAGCGAACGUAUCACCCAAGACAACUUUACGGAGUUGACGAUUGACGGAGCGAAGCGACGUCAAAGCGUUCAUUAAAGUCGAGUUGGCUUAGGGAUACGUUCGUUGGGUAGGGGAGCGUUCUGUAAGCCUGUGAAGGUGUGUCGUGAGGCAUGCUGGAGGUAUCAGAAGUGCGAAUGCUGACAUAAGUAACGAUAAAGCGGGUGAAAAGCCCGCUCGCCGGAAGACCAAGGGUUCCUGUCCAACGUUAAUCGGGGCAGGGUGAGUCGACCCCUAAGGCGAGGCCGAAAGGCGUAGUCGAUGGGAAACGGGUUAAUAUUCCCGUACUUGGUGUUACUGCGAAGGGGGGACGGAGAAGGCUAUGUUGGCCGGGCGACGGUUGUCCCGGUUUAAGCGUGUAGGUGUGUGUUCCAGGUAAAUCCGGUUCACUUUAACACUGAGGCGUGACGACGAGGCACUACGGUGCUGAAGCAACAAAUGCCCUGCUUCCAGGAAAAGCCUCUAAGCAUCAGGUAACAUCAAAUCGUACCCCAAACCGACACAGGUGGUCAGGUAGAGAAUACCAAGGCGCUUGAGAGAACUCGGGUGAAGGAACUAGGCAAAAUGGUGCCGUAACUUCGGGAGAAGGCACGCUGACACGUAGGUGAAGUGAUUUACUCAUGGAGCUGAAGUCAGUCGAAGAUACCAGCUGGCUGCAACUGUUUAUUAAAAACACAGCACUGUGCAAACACGAAAGUGGACGUAUACGGUGUGACGCCUGCCCGGUGCCGGAAGGUUAAUUGAUGGGGUCA
Molecule: ribosomal RNA, 1819 nt
Filed under: Salmonella enterica subsp. enterica serovar Typhimurium
Lineage: Bacteria; Pseudomonadati; Pseudomonadota; Gammaproteobacteria; Enterobacterales; Enterobacteriaceae
Description: partial 23S ribosomal RNA
Rfam family: Bacterial large subunit ribosomal RNA
Source: RNAcentral